GGACAACAUUUAUCCGGCAUGCAUUUGUUUUUGCAUCUCUGUGUGUGUUUGUGUGUGUGUGUACGUGUGUGAGAAAGAGGGCGAGGAGAUUUUCUAUGUGUUUGUGUUUUUGUGUGUGGGUGUGUGCUUUAGCACUGAGGGCGCCAGGUCAGGAGGCACAUUUCUACUUUGCCUGUUGAUUCUCUUCAGCAUGAGAAACCAUAGUCUUAAUUUUCAGAUAAGUCUGAGCAGAAAGAAAGUAUCCAGUAAAGCAGUGCUUCUCAACUGGUGGGUCCCGGCCCAAAAGUGGGUCGCAGACACGUUCUGGAUGGGUCAUAAAAGGAAAUAUUGAAUGCGAUAUUUAUUAGAUAGUCAAUAUUUUCUGUAUAUGCAACUUCAGUAGUUGUCGUCCUCAUGUUGUCCCCUUCAUGUGCUCUGAAAUGCACUUUACUCAGUAAAACAAGUGGAUUUAUGUUAAAGAUUAGAGUCUUUAAAGUUUUUUUACAUAUAAAAAAUGUAUUUGCUUGGUUUGAUUUCUAUAAAGGUGGGUCACGACUUAAGGACCAUGGGAAAAUGUGGGUCCCAGAGUGAGACCAGUUGAGAACCACUGCAGCAAAGCACAGUAAUGCAUUCACGCUAUUCACUGUCUGCUUGGCGUGCAAACACUUGGACAUGUGCAGAAAAUCUAUCCCCAACUGCAUUAUUAUGAUAAGAUUUAGUCAGAUUAUUAGUUAGAUUUAGUGUGAUUUCAGGUGGAUUUAAGGGAAUAAAUUAAUAUGUUUGAAUGAAAGGUUGACCAGGACUCCUCUACUGCAGAGCCGUACAAGGUAGUUUGUCAUUUUCCGGACUAUAAGUCGCACUUUUUUUCAUAGUUUGGCUGGGUUUGUGACUUAUACUCACAUGUGACUUAUAUAUAUUAAAAUAUAUAAUUUCAUCUAUAAUCUGAUCUUGGAUUUUAUAAAAUAAACUUCCCUUCCAAAAUGUGACUAAAGGUCCUUACACACCAGGGCCGACGUGAAUAUAGAAUGCGAAAUUACAAAAUAUUCUGAGGUGAAUUUUGACGGGCCUCCUUCACUUAUGAUUGGCUAGAAAAGCUGGAAACGUCAUCACACGCUUAAGCCAAAUGGUCGGCAUUUAUAGCCAAUCAGAGGCAGAAGAUGCAUUUUUUUGGCUGGUGCGACUUCUACUCGGGAGCGACUUAUAGUUCGGAAAAUACAAUACUUGUAGCUUUAUGCAGGGUCUUCCUUGUGGAGGCACUGAUUAGAUGUUGCUUCAAAACUUGUAAAUAAUGGAGCCUUCCCAGAUCCAGUCAGAGAUGAGAUUCAUGGUUCGGUCUAAACCUGCAUUUGUGGAUCCAAAGAUCGCUGAUUUGGAGGGUAUUUUGAGCUCAUGUGGUGACUUCCGCCGCAGAGUCAUGCCUAGUUUUAAUGCCAUGGCUUCAAGAUCAUGACCUCUCAGUAUGAGUUUUCUGACUUUCUGAAUCAAACUCUUCAAAUGAAACUUUUCCACUCUUUAGGAAUUGAGGUUAUGACGAUAGUGGCUCAUAAUGAGAGAGGCUCUGUAUUUUUGUUGAAUAAAAAAAUAACCAAGAAGUGCAUUAAUGAUGAUAACAGAUCUAAAUCAUGUUCUAUUUUUGUGCACAUGGCUUGUCGCUGCAGUUUUCUAUUCCCACAUCUCCUGUGUAUGAGCCCCUAUAGCCUGAGGUGCAAAGCAACAACUCGACGCUCCGUCUAAAACUAAAUAAGAGAGAGAGGCAAGCGAGAAUGGGGAGAUAUGUUCUUGUUGAGGAAUAUAAAAAAGAAGAAGAUCCUUUAGGCAAUAAGAUGGGAAGCAGAACUUUUUCUUGGAAAGCAGAGACAACAGCAGCCAGAGAAAGAAAAGUCUUGUCACACUUGGUGUCUUUCCCACUCAAACACAAAGAGGGGAAAACGCAGCGAUAACUAAAUUUAACAAAGAGGAAUGAAGACGAAUACGGACGCGCACAAAAUCGGCUGAAACGCUUAGUAACGGGUGUCAGCAGAUGUUUUUUUUUCUCUAGCUCGCUCUUUUUUUCGGUGUUGCUGUUGUUAUUGGCGGUGGGGAUGAUGAUGUGUUUGUUGCCGGCUGCCUCCAACUGUCAGCCUAAACAGAGUGGGUGUGAGGCGAAGUCAAUCCCUCCCCCAAACCCUGUCUUUAGGAACGCAUCGAUUUGUCAGUCGUCAAAAAAAUGACAAAGGAGCGAAAAAAUCAAAACGCUGGUGUCUAAAUAGUGCAGAAUGAGUAGGAAUGAUGCCAAACAAUGGGGUGUUGCGUCAAAGGGAAUAAAAAACAAAUUGAUGUCAUUCAGCUUGUGUGGAUUUCAACUUUUUUUUAAAUAAGAGCUCUAAGCUUCCCAAUCUUCCGUCCUCUCCUUUGAAACUUUACAUUCAUCUUAAUGCUAAUCUGUCUUUGAAUUGUAAAUUCUUUGUAAUGAAUAUUCAAUCAAAGCACCUGUUUGAGAGCACACUCGGAUGAAAAAAGUAUCAGUCUGUUAGAUUCUCCUAUGGCGCAGACUUAAAAAACCAUAUGUGCUCACUCCAUGCGCAUAUGGGCACAAGCUAACAUAUGUCUCAUGAAUGUAAUCCCCAACAUUCAUGCAAUCAAAGUCUUAAGGUUGUGAAGCUUCGUAAUGAGCGACGCAAAAGUGUGAGGAUGAUUGGAAAAAAAAUCUAGUUGCCUCAAGUAACCGAGGAUGCAAAUCAGAUGCAGAUGUAGUCAAAGAUUGGGUUAAUGCAAUCCGAACGCCUCCCUCUUUCUAAAUGUACAUAUUUGAUAAGGUUAUUCAGGCUCAUCUGAGGUUAGACCAAAAAUACUGGUUACACACGACUCAUUUAAGCAAAAGCAAAGCGUCCUUGGGAUGAAACGGCGCCAGUAACAAAAGAUCGAGGUGUUUUUUUCAAGGGUAAUUGCGCUACUUUGCAAUUCAUGAAACUUUGAAGUAGUUCAGACUGGAAAGAAAAAACUAAAGUUCUGCAUAAAAAGCAGCUUAACUGAAGUACCAUUCAGAAAGCAAAAAAUUAAAUUUAAUGGGACUGAGUCUCUUACUCGGUUCUGAAAAAUGUUCAUGUUACCAAAAAAACAAAUUCACUCUGUGUCUUGUGUUAUGAGAGUUAAAUAAUGGCACUCCAAGCCUUCAACUAAACCACGCAGAAUCAUAUCAGAAAGAGUUAACGGUGACAGUUGGAUUAGUUAGUUGAUCAGGGACUACUCUGGGGAUAUAAAAGUCUCAAUUUUUCUGUUAUUAUUAUCAUGAAGAAAAAGAUGAAUUUCUGCAGAAUUUCAACUUGAAGUCAACGCAUGUUACAAGUAAUAGGCAAACAAGGUAAAAGCCUUCAAUUCUGGAUCUGAGACGAGGGAAUAAACACAAUUUUUCUAACAUCUCAGCUCCUUUUUUUGUGCCAAAUGUGGAGCUUUUAGAUGAUUAAUGUAUUACAAAACCCAUGUAUUCAAAAAACGAAGUGUGAGGUUUUAAAGUUAAAAAAGUCUAAAUUAAACUACAAGAGGAAAUCUGGUUUCUUGCAUCCCACAAUUAAAAAUACAAAUUAACUUUUUCACUUUGUGAUUAAUCAUACAUUAAGAGCUGUUCUUAAUUUAUUAAUUAUGCAACACUCAGCAAAUUAAUGUUCUGUUUAGGGUCCUGGAGCGUACUGACCCUCUUAACAGGCACCAAAAAUUAAAUAUUUAACAUGUUUUAUCAUCACAAAAGCGAUCUAAUUUGAUUAAAUUUGCUAAUAAACAUGAUUUUCAAUUCAUCAUAUUCAGAUGUCUUACAGCAGUGAGUCUGAAACAAACAACAAACCACAUAAACUUUUUUAAAUAUAUAUUUUAUACCCCAUAUUGAAAAGGAUGUUUGCUUUUUUUUAAGCUUUAAAGUAGAAAAGGUGGAGAAAGCAUGACUAAAACAGACCCACAGUCUGUCAGCCUCUCACAUAUGGAUGGAAAUAUCCAGCGACAGAUUGUUCGAUUAUUUUAGUCAUACAGCCUGUUAAUGUGUUACAUAUGUACAGCCAGCAAGAGGAGGUAUCUAGAGACCCCAACACCUCCUUAAGGAUCACAGCUUUAUGAUCUAUUUAUGGUUAUCUUUGGUUGGCUUUCACCUGGUUUCAUGGGUUUGACUUCUUUGUUAAGUCUUAAUGAAGGUUAGUUUGAUUUGUUUGGGUUAAGUUGAUGAAAUUUAGUUCAGUUGGAUUGGUUUUGUUUGGUUGGUUUUGGUGUAAUGUUUCUGGUUUUGGUUUUGGUCCAGUAAUCAGUUAGGCUGGGUUUGAUUUCAUUGGCUUUUGUUUGGGUUUGUUUUGGUAAGGUUUAAUUGGUUAUGAAAGGGUUUAUUUAGGUUUGUUUUGGUAAUAGUUUGAUUAGUUUUGAUAGGGUUUUUUUGGUUUGUUUGGUAAAAUUUGGCAGGGUUCCUUUUGGUUUGUUUUGGUAAAGUUUAAUUGGUUUUGAUAGGGUUUUUUUAGGUUUGUUUUGGUAAAGUUUUAUUGGUUUUGAUAGGGUUUGUUUAGGUUUGUUUGUUAAUUGUUUGAUUAGUUUUGAUAGGGUUUGUUUAGGCUUGUUUUGGUUAAGUUUGGUAGGGUUCCUUUGAUGUUUGUUUUGGUAAAGUUUAAUUGGUUUUGAUAGGGUUUGUUUGGGUUAGUUUUGGUAAAGUUUGUGUUCUUUUUAGGUUUGUUUAAGUAAAGUUCAGUUGGUCUUGAUUUGUUUUGUCUUUUUUUGUUUGAUCUGUUUUUUAUGUGGUUAGUUCAUUUUGUUUUGCUUACUUUGUUUUGGUUUGGUUGCUUUAAAUUGGUUUGAUUUAUAGUUUGGUUGUUUUUUGUACAGAUUUGUACGGGGUUUUUUUUGCUUGGUUGGAAUCAGGACUUCCACCCUCGCACCUCGUCCCCCUAUUAUAACUGGAAAAGAUAUCCUUUUUCAUGAGGAACCCUGCUGCAGAGGUCAUGUUUGCUAAAGUUACAUUUAUCUGUUUGCAAAGUCGUUUCUGGAAAUGCUCAUCAUUCAUACAUGACCUCUAUAAUGAACUUCUGCUCUACAUAUUGAGUUUCAAUGGCGUCAGCUGAAAAGAAUACACAAUAGCAAUGGGAAAAACAUUGUUCUACUUUGUAGUCAUUGUUUGUACACACAGCUGUAAGUCCUUUUCAGCUCAUUAUGCAAAAGCAAAGAUUGAAAUCCUCUUCCCAAAGUUUAAAUGUUUCUAUUUUUACUGCACAAGGUCAGUGCACUCACAGUAAUAGAUUUGCAAAGGCUUCCGCCCCUGAUACCAAACAGAAUUAACUGAACCAAAAGAAGCAUUAUUGCAGUCACUGCUGUUUGCACAUGAUCACAUUCAGGGACCAACUGCUUUAUCCUGAAAUGGCCCCUGAUGCUCCACUACCUCGGUCCUUUUUACAUAAGCCAGCAAUUGUACUCAGAGAGGGGGGAAGCCAGAGAGGUUUUCAUUAAGCUCCUUGAGAACCUUCUCCAUGUCAGAAAGUAUGUCAGUGACCAUAAAAGCAGCAGGGGGGAGGUGUGCUUUCCAAGCCAAUAAGCAUUGCACUAGCCAGGAAAGGGUAUAGACUCGGCAGCACCUCUCCUAUAACAGAGGGAAGCCUUGGAUAUGAAAGUAUACCAACAACACGUCUGGACUUGAAAAGGCUCUUACUGAGAGCAUAAUCGUCUUAACUUUCCAUUGGCCUAGUUUUGAGAUGUUCUCUAACCAGACAGGUAAUUUUAAAGCAAUGAAAUUAUUCCCAGGGGUUUAUAAAGGAAAAUUCCGGGAAUUAAAAAAGUCCCAUUGCCUCGGUGUACAGCUCCUGGACAUGCGUGCGGGUACAGUAUACAUCCAAUAAGUGACUUGGUGACUUCAGACACUUGGUAUUGCAGCUGUAGCUCCCAUUUGAGCUGUGUAAUCACAAGAGGUAGAACCACAGAGCGCCUGAAAUGCCACUGAGGGAUGGGCACGUGUGUGGCUGCUAAAUGAAAUCAAUGAGAUAAUCGAUAAGUGGGGGCUGGAAGAAGAGGAUUACUCAGAGCUGGAGGAAACACUCGCUGGGCCAUUCACUCAUCUUGAUUAAAGGGCCUGGCUUUGUGCUUUGACGCAGGCCGGUGCGCAGUGGGUUGACACCAGAUCUGGGUCAAUUAUGAGUUGAGGUUCUUUUAAUUACUUAGGAUGUUUGCUCUAUGGUCUGUCUAGCAGACAAGGGCGUGCGAGGAAAGGUUUGAAAUAUUUGAGCCCCUUGUGGUUUGAUUGAUUUAUCCGCCCACGUUUGAACUCCAGGGGAAGUGUGUGUGCAACUUCCACUAGAGCUGCUCCACGUAUGGAUGCUUUGUUCUAGCCAGGAUGCUCCACCCUUCACAAGACGAGCUGUUAUGAAGCCAAAUAUUCAACAUCAUUAGACUGAUUAGAUUAACCACUAGGAAUCAGCCAGCCAACAAAUAUGUCAUGUUUUAACUUACAGUUUUGUCCACUCACACCACAUACAUUGAUGGCAGUGGAUUCUGUAUGACGUGCCCAUCAGUUUUAACUAACCCCAUUUAAACGCUGCUGGCUAUGUCACCAGGAAUAAUUCAGGGUUUCGCCAAAGGACAUUUUGGCAUGUCAACUGCGCCAUCAACCAAACUGUUCUACCUUUACGUCCAAAUACAAACCAGCUCCAACCCUAUUUAGCUUUCCAGAUUGGACAAGAAGAGGCACAUUAAGGGUGGUGCAGCUGCGAUGUGUUAAACGCAGCAAAAAAAGAAACACAUGCGGGUCGGGUUUAGGCAAUAAAAGCACUUGGAUGGGUUCUGUAAAGGAUUAUAUUGAGAUUUGAGUACACCAUUGAUGGCAUCCAUUAGUUUCCAAAGUGGCUAAAUCGAAAAAGCUGACUCGGCCUAACUGAUGCUCGUGAAGCAGCAACUUUUUGCACUUUUGCGUUGGCUUCUGGAAUUAGCCAAUAAAUGUACAACCAAUGACUAGGAAAUGGUACACAACAUUUACCUUAUUUUUUUGCAACACUCACGUCUCAUGAAAGAGCCAUACAUUGUCCACAACUUCCAUGCUUUCCAACACAAUAGACCAGUCUAUUAUAUUUCACAAACUAGGAGUGGAUACAGACUGCCUUCUUUCAUUUAAAGCCCUUUUACUCAAGCUUGAACCAAAGCCACCCACAGACACACCAUUAAGGAAUAAAUAGUGUUCCAUGCCCGCCAUAAUGUGGCUCACAAAGAACUAAUAAAACCCAACCACUGAGACUUACAGGCAGAGUGCUGAGCAAUGGAUGGGCUAAUAAUAAUAUCUGGGAGAAACACCAAGAAUUCCCUGGAGAUAAUGCCAGAUAAUCAUAACUACACAUCCAUAUGAACUGGAAACAGCAGGAAAGGUUGAAGUGGCCGCAGAGUUUGGAAGUGCAGCUUCACUGGCAAUGACACGUGGGACUUUCAUCAAAGCUUACAUCAAAGGCGAAUACCCAGCUUAAUAUCUUUUGGGGCUUUAUUUCCACAAAGGCUAAACAAGAGCAGACACAGUCGAUUCAGCUACAGGGAGUCAGAUGAAAGCUAGCCACGGAUGCUUGAUGGAAAAAUUAAAGACUGGGGUCAGUGUUUUGGGGGUUGAUUUUCCCAUCAGGGAUUGAGCAUCUCCGCCUGAAUAUGGCUUAGGUGUAGCAUUUUUCUUCUUUUAUAAGCUACCUGCCUGCUAUCUUUUAGUCAGUUGUCAAGGGAUUCACUCUAAAAAUAAAGUAUGUUAUCUUUUUUGGGGGGAAAAUAAGAAAUGAUAGACAACGCAGAUAGGCCUUAGGUGGCACAAAUAAGAGAAGAUAAUGUAGGAGGUGGGUGUACAAGCUGUAAUGGGAUUUCUAACUGAUGUGAAACCAGCACAAGCAACCACAGGUUCGUGUUUCCUCCCAAAGAAAGCACCCCAGAGCACAGAAAAAAAGCACAGCUUCCACCACAUCAAGUAUUUUCCAUAGCUGGAGGAUUAAAUGACCCAGACUUAAACUAAAGUGGUACCAUAGAGAUUUACACCAAAGCAGAGUAUAUGAGGUGUGCGGAAGAUGUUAUCCCUGCUGGAAGUGUUGCAUCGACUGCCAGCUCCUGGGGGGGGAUCUCACACAAACGACGGCAGGCCUGCUGGGCCACAGCAGUGUUGCAGUGCUGUGUGCCCAGCGUGUAAAAGAGCCUGCCCCAUCUCUGCUGUGUUUCCAACAGCUAUUUUCCAUUGCAUUAAUGAAUGGGUCCUACGGUUAGACACUGAGUCACACAGGACUAUACAGCGAGGGAACACCUGGCGGCAAACAAUACCUGGUGGAUUUGAACAGAGGAAGUGAAAUGCUUUGAAGAUCUUUUAUCUAAUGUAAUAGGAAAUAUACCACUUUGCUGCUACAUAUGACAUUUGCAUUUUUCCCAUUAAACAGAAGAGAAGUCUGUAUAUUUAUAUAACAGAUAACAGCAGUAGAAAUGGCUCCCAUUGCAUAAAAGCAAUGCAGUAAUUUUCUGAUUAUAAAAACGCUCAUAGAACACGUAAGACUUCUGAAUGUCUAUGCACCAGUCAGAGUUAUUGGACUGUGUCAUUUUUGCUUUUUCGUUUCACAAACCCAAAAAUGAAGCGAUGCAUUCACAAUCACGCUGUAGUGUCGUGCAUUGUGUAAUAAAACAGCCGGCGCUGCAGCAGGAGUCUAAAUGUGUCAUUUUCUCUCAAGGGGACCCAAGAAGAAGCAUCCAAGAAAUCAAGAAACACUCUCCUCAAGAUCAUAAAAUAUGAAAAUAUGAUGAUGCCAUGAAGUUGAAGUAUCUAUGCCUCAGUGGGUGGUGAUAAAAUCACAUCUCUUUCACCAUUUUUUAGACACUUUUACCUUUCUGAAGAAGAAAUACGUAAGGCAGUAUGUUUAAGCUGAUGUGUAAAAUGCUAAUAAAAGCUGAAUUUGAUACUUUGCUAAUCAUUCAAACACUUGAUUUAGUUGAAAAUAGUGCAAAGACAUCUAACAGGUGUCUGUUUUGUGAAAUUUUACAUUCCUUUUAUAUCCUACAGCAGCUACACAUUUCAAAAAACUAGGACAAAGCAUCUUUCUUCUUUCAACAACAAUUGUAAGGGUUUAACAGUCUAGUAAAGGUUUUAGGAGUGAUUUUUAAGAGACGUGACUACAGAGCCAUGUCUGUUUUUAAUGUAGGGUUUCCCUGAAGCUCAAAGUUUGCAAUGUUUUGGUAAAGAUAUCUUGUACAGAUUCUAAAAUAUCCCUCUUCUUUGCAAGUCAAGACAGUAUUAACACCUGGGUGAUCAAAUACAAUCAUAGACAGCGCUAUCACUAGAUCCACCCUCUGAUAACUUCUACAUUUACUCAAUCAGAAAGGGGUUAUUGCACUUAUAGAGUACUUCUAAUUGAACGCAAUGGCUCGUGGUAUAACAGAGAAAGGUACUCUUCUUAUUUUGUCCACUUCAUCAACAAAUAUACAGGCCAAAAUAUUAGGAACACCUUUAGCUAGUAAACCAACACUCAUUUGGGCCUCAACAGUCAAUUUAAAGCACAAAUAACAGUAAAUAAUUCAACUUUUCUGUAGUUUUUGCACUCUUUACAGUUAAAAAUUUGUGUUUUUAUCAACAUUUUACAUCCUAGCUUUUAAGGAAUUAGGGUUGUACCUGUGUAAAGCUUUUAAGCCAUGAAACAGAUGAUAAAAACAGACCUGUCACACGUCUCAUUACACCAACUCAAACCCAAUGAAAA
Non-coding RNA from Xyrichtys novacula (pearly razorfish), 9662 nucleotides. Lineage: Eukaryota; Metazoa; Chordata; Actinopteri; Labriformes; Labridae. The record is from the annotation of a GenBank genome assembly.